This is a non-coding RNA of Chlorocebus sabaeus (green monkey), 2377 nucleotides long. NCBI's taxonomy places the organism in Eukaryota, Metazoa, Chordata, Mammalia, Primates, Cercopithecidae. The record is from RefSeq and is a predicted model, not a curated record.
ACCCUGUCUCAAAAAAAAAAAAAAAAAAAAAAAAAAGACGAUAGAAGCAGCCCAGGAUCCACCCUUGGCUCGUUAAGUCGGGCUGCCUGGAGUGUUGAGAAUUGACACCUACAUGGUGGUCAGUACUAGGACGACCAGACUCUCCUAUGGGCACAGUUCUGUACAGUUUAUAAGGGUUUUGGUUUUUUUUUCUUUUUUUGGGGGGGGGUCUCACUCAUGAUAUUCCCCAUUUAGGGUCUUGAGGUUUGAGGACCCUGUUAGACUUACCCUCAGUCUGUUGGGUGAGUUUGCUUCUAUCAUCUUGGAUUCUUGACUAUCCCUAUUUUUUAGAGGAGGGAACAAACUUCAGGUCUUCCAGAAAGAACUGGCAAAAAGAGGCCUGUAUUCCUCUAACUUCACUGUCUUCUUUACACACCAUGCCACUUUCCUGAACAAUAUACAAGUUCAUCAUGUAAUUAUUUUAGAACCCAGGGUCCAAAUAUUUUUAUGGUCAAGAUUCGAUGGGCAAAGUCCUCACACUGAGUUCUCCCAGCAAGGAUGCUUUCCACUCACUUGCUGGGUGGCUGCGGGUCACCUCCCCUCACUGGGCCUUGGUUUCCCCAUCUGUGAAAUGAGGUAGUUGGAUUAGAUAAUUCCACAGUUCCCUUCCAGCUCUAGCAUUACCCUCAGAUACCCUCAUGCCUAAAGCAGUAAUUGAACAAGGGGCGUGGUGACCCCAGGUUCUGGGUCAGGUCCUCAUCUUGCGGCACGGAAGAAUCGUGAUGAUGGCUGCAGCCCCCAGAAGAUUAACUUGAGAGGAGCUGGCUGAGAUGAUUUUUCAGCUGAUGGUGAAAUGUGCUGGCAGAAUCUAUACAGGUAGGUUGGCACAGGUGAGGAGUGGGGUGGGCACUUUGUCUCUUGUGACCCCGAAUAAUGUUUCCUUGCAGAAUUGGAAGCCUCCAGGACAGGUGGAUGCCAGCUGGAUUUAGCCAUUCACAUUGGCAAAGUACAUUUUAUCAUCAGCUUGUCAAAGUUCUGUGAACAAAAUAUCUGUUGGAAGUCCGAGAAGAAUUGCAUUGAAGGGGAAAUUAACAACUUUAGAGUAUCAGUUCUUCCCAUCUAUGGACAUGGUGUCUAUCUCCUUUUAAUCAGAAUUGUAUUUGUUUUGUUUUGUUUUUAAUGCCUUUUAAUAAAGGUUGGUUGCUUUUGUCAUAAAGAUUUUUCACAGUUCUUAAUAGGUUUAUUCCUGAGUACCUUAUUAAUUUUGUUGCUUUUGUGAGUGGAAAAACUUUUCCUUUUUUCAUUUUGCUUUCCAAAUUUUAAUCAGUUUACUAAUCACUGUGCUUCAUUCACAGACACAUACACAGCAAAUGUGCUUUGUCCCUGGGCACACAAAUGAAAACACAGCACACAUGUAAAUCAGAGCUAAUUGGCUGAAAAUGAAUUAGAAUUUUUGAAUUAAAUGUUAAUUAUACAAGUAAUACAUGAAUAUAUUUUGCUUUAAAUAAAAUUAGAGCAUUUCGGGUAAAGAAGUCUCUACUGGCCUCCCCAACCUGUCCUCAGGCCCCUUCCCCGCUUUAGAGGUAGCUGCUGUUAGGCAUUUGCUAUUGAUCCAAAAUGUUUUCCUAUGCGAAUUGAAACAUGUCCUGUGUUCUAUUGUUGUUUUUGUUUGCUUGCAUAGAUGUGGUGGUGUACACACUGGAGGUGCUGCUCCUGAGCUCAGGGAGCCUUACAGGACUCUCCUCGUGUCGCGUGUCACCUGCCGCAGCUGGCUCCACUGCCCCUUUCAGCUGGCCGCCGGCAACCAGAACCGAUUGUGCUAUGAUUUAUUUAGUUGUUGCUUAUUGAUCGACUAUUAAAAGGCUUCCAGUCUUAUUUCAAUAGGACAAACCUGUAACAGCAUUCUUGUAUAUGCCCCUUUUGCUCAUGUACAAGUGUUUCUCUGGGGCAGAUACUUAGAAACAGAAUUGGUGGGUCAUAGAGUCUACACAUCUUAAAUUCUAAUAGUAACUGCUAAAAUGUUCUUCAAAGUGCCUUUCUGAUUUAAUUUCAUGCCAGCAGUAUGUGUGUCCAUUUCUCCAGACCAUCUCCAAGUUUUACAUUUUAACCAAUCUGGUGGGUGAAAAAUAAUACCUUGUUUUAGUUAGUAUUUUUCUGAAUUACCAGGAUGGCUAAAGUCUGUGUGUUUCCUAUCCAUUUAUAUUUCCUUGUCGGCAUUACUUGUCCAAAUUUUUUGCCCAUUUCUUUUUUUUAGGGUAUGUUAUCUUUUCCUUAUUGAUUUUUUAGAAGUUCUUUAUGCAUUUUGUAUACUUUAUGUGUAUUGCAAAUAUUUUCUGUAUUGUGAUUCUUGUCAUUUAAUUGUAUUGUGUCUUUGGAGAAAUCUUAAAUUUUGAUACAG